RNAcentral lists this transfer RNA (54 nucleotides) under Thyreophagus entomophagus. Its description in RNAcentral is "tRNA-Ser". Lineage: Eukaryota; Metazoa; Arthropoda; Arachnida; Sarcoptiformes; Acaridae. The record is from RNAcentral.
GUCUCUAAUUUAGAAACUUUGAAAGUUUUACUUUGGCUUAAUAGCCUAGAGUCU